GGUUAAGCGACUAAGCGUACACGGUGGAUGCCCUGGCAGUCAGAGGCGAUGAAGGACGUGCUAAUCUGCGAAAAGCGCCGGCGAGGUGAUAUGAACCCUUGACCCGGCGAUGUCCGAAUGGGGAAACCCAGUGUGAUUCGUCACACUAUCGUUAACUGAAUACAUAGGUUAACGAGGCGAACCGGGGGAACUGAAACAUCUAAGUACCCCGAGGAAAAGAAAUCAACCGAGAUUCCCCCAGUAGCGGCGAGCGAACGGGGAGCAGCCCAGAGUCUGAAUCAGCUUGUGUGUUAGUGGAAGCGUCUGGAAAGUCGCACGGUACAGGGUGAAAGUCCCGUACACGAAAAUGCACAGGCUGUGAACUCGAAGAGUAGGGCGGGACACGUGGUAUCCUGUCUGAAUAUGGGGGGACCAUCCUCCAAGGCUAAAUACUCCUGACUGACCGAUAGUGAACCAGUACCGUGAGGGAAAGGCGAAAAGAACCCCGGCGAGGGGAGUGAAAAAGAACCUGAAACCGUGUACGUACAAGCAGUGGGAGCACCUUCGGGUGUGACUGCGUACCUUUUGUAUAAUGGGUCAGCGACUUAUAUUCUGUAGCAAGGUUAACCGUAUAGGGGAGCCGAAGGGAAACCGAGUCUUAACUGGGCGUUAAGUUGCAGGGUAUAGACCCGAAACCCGGUGAUCUAGCCAUGGGCAGGUUGAAGGUUGGGUAACACUAACUGGAGGACCGAACCGACUAAUGUUGAAAAAUUAGCGGAUGACCUGUGGCUGGGGGUGAAAGGCCAAUCAAACCGGGAGAUAGCUGGUUCUCCCCGAAAGCUAUUUAGGUAGCGCCUCGUGAACUCAUCUUCGGGGGUAGAGCACUGUUUCGGCUAGGGGGCCAUCCCGGCUUACCAACCCGAUGCAAACUACGAAUACCGAAGAAUGUUAUCACGGGAGACACACGGCGGGUGCUAACGUCCGUCGUGAAGAGGGAAACAACCCAGACCGCCAGCUAAGGUCCCAAAGUCAUGGUUAAGUGGGAAACGAUGUGGGAAGGCCCAGACAGCCAGGAUGUUGGCUUAGAAGCAGCCAUCAUUUAAAGAAAGCGUAAUAGCUCACUGGUCGAGUCGGCCUGCGCGGAAGAUGUAACGGGGCUAAACCAUGCACCGAAGCUGCGGCAGCGACACUCUGUGUUGUUGGGUAGGGGAGCGUUCUGUAAGCCGUUGAAGGUGGCCUGUGAGGGUUGCUGGAGGUAUCAGAAGUGCGAAUGCUGACAUAAGUAACGAUAAAGCGGGUGAAAAGCCCGCUCGCCGGAAGACCAAGGGUUCCUGUCCAACGUUAAUCGGGGCAGGGUGAGUCGACCCCUAAGGCGAGGCCGAAAGGCGUAGUCGAUGGGAAACAGGUUAAUAUUCCUGUACUUGGUGUUACUGCGAAGGGGGGACGGAGAAGGCUAUGUUAGCCGGGCGACGGUUGUCCCGGUUUAAGCAUGUAGGCGGAGGUUCCAGGUAAAUCCGGUACCUUUUAACGCUGAGGUGUGAUGACGAGGCACUACGGUGCUGAAGUAACAAAUGCCCUGCUUCCAGGAAAAGCCUCUAAGCAUCAGGUAACAUCAAAUCGUACCCCAAACCGACACAGGUGGUCAGGUAGAGAAUACCAAGGCGCUUGAGAGAACUCGGGUGAAGGAACUAGGCAAAAUGGUGCCGUAACUUCGGGAGAAGGCACGCUGAUAUGUAGGUGAAGCCCCUGCGGGUGGAGCUGAAAUCAGUCGAAGAUACCAGCUGGCUGCAACUGUUUAUUAAAAACACAGCACUGUGCAAACACGAAAGUGGACGUAUACGGUGUGACGCCUGCCCGGUGCCGGAAGGUUAAUUGAUGGGGUUAGCGGUAACGCGAAGCUCUUGAUCGAAGCCCCGGUAAACGGCGGCCGUAACUAUAACGGUCCUAAGGUAGCGAAAUUCCUUGUCGGGUAAGUUCCGACCUGCACGAAUGGCGUAAUGAUGGCCAGGCUGUCUCCACCCGAGACUCAGUGAAAUUGAACUCGCUGUGAAGAUGCAGUGUACCCGCGGCAAGACGGAAAGACCCCGUGAACCUUUACUAUAGCUUGACACUGAACACUGGUCCUUGAUGUGUAGGAUAGGUGGGAGGCUUUGAAGCGUGGACGCCAGUCUGCGUGGAGCCAUCCUUGAAAUACCACCCUUUAAUGGCUGGUGUUCUAACGUAGACCCGUAAUCCGGGUUGCGGACAGUGUCUGGUGGGUAGUUUGACUGGGGCGGUCUCCUCCCAAAGAGUAACGGAGGAGCACGAAGGUUAGCUAAUCCUGGUCGGACAUCAGGAGGUUAGUGCAAUGGCAUAAGCUAGCUUGACUGCGAGAGUGACGGCUCGAGCAGGUGCGAAAGCAGGUCAUAGUGAUCCGGUGGUUCUGAAUGGAAGGGCCAUCGCUCAACGGAUAAAAGGUACUCCGGGGAUAACAGGCUGAUACCGCCCAAGAGUUCAUAUCGACGGCGGUGUUUGGCACCUCGAUGUCGGCUCAUCACAUCCUGGGGCUGAAGUAGGUCCCAAGGGUAUGGCUGUUCGCCAUUUAAAGUGGUACGCGAGCUGGGUUUAGAACGUCGUGAGACAGUUCGGUCCCUAUCUGCCGUGGGCGCUGGAGAAUUGAGGGGGGCUGCUCCUAGUACGAGAGGACCGGAGUGGACGCAUCACUGGUGUUCGGGUUGUCAUGCCAAUGGCACUGCCCGGUAGCUAAAUGCGGAAGAGAUAAGUGCUGAAAGCAUCUAAGCACGAAACUUGCCCCGAGAUGAGUUCUCCCUGACUCCUUGAGAGUCCUGAAGGAACGUUGAAGACGACGACGUUGAUAGGUCGGGUGUGUAAGCGCAGCGAUGCGUUGAGCUAACCGAUACUAAUGAACCGUGAGGCUUAACCUU
RNAcentral lists this ribosomal RNA (2903 nucleotides) under Enterobacter cloacae subsp. cloacae. Its description in RNAcentral is "23S ribosomal RNA". It matches the Rfam family "Bacterial large subunit ribosomal RNA". Lineage: Bacteria; Pseudomonadati; Pseudomonadota; Gammaproteobacteria; Enterobacterales; Enterobacteriaceae. The record is from RNAcentral.